Molecule: non-coding RNA, 29 nt
Filed under: Homo sapiens (human)
Lineage: Eukaryota; Metazoa; Chordata; Mammalia; Primates; Hominidae
Source: RNAcentral
UAAACUGACAUAGGAGCAUUUGGGGAGCA